AAAAGGUUUAACAGAAAUCCAUCCGCAAACCGUCAUAACUUAUGGGCACGGAGGGUGAUCAGCCCCGUUGUACCCUGUAUUUAUCAAUACUACAUAACCUGAACGAAAUUCAUCGCUCACUCUAUCCGCCUUGGGCUCAAAAAUUUUCCCAUAUAGGGGUGUUCAUACAUGCCUGGUUCCAAACCCGAAGGUUUUUAAUCUUGCUCAACAAUAAUAUAUAAUUCAACAUAUAUGUAUACGGGUAAUUGACAAAGGUAUAUCAACAUGUGAAUAAAUGCCAUGAUUAUCCAAGUGGGGACACUUGUAUAACC
This 311-nucleotide long non-coding RNA is filed under the name Panax ginseng (ginseng). RNAcentral's name for it is "long non-coding RNA (PGIN_LNC017817)". The record is from RNAcentral. Lineage: Eukaryota; Viridiplantae; Streptophyta; Magnoliopsida; Apiales; Araliaceae.